UCGCCCCUACGGGGCGCAGCAGUGGGGGAUAUUGCACAAUGGGGGAAACCCUGAUGCAGCGACGCCGCGUGGGCGAAGAAGUAUUUCGGUAUGUAAAGCCCUAUCAGCAGGGAAGAAGAAAUGACGGUACCUGAGUAAGAAGCACCGGCUAAAUACGUGCCAGCAGCCGCGGUAAUACGUAUGGCGCAAGCGUUAUCCGGAUUUACUGGGUGUAAAGGGAGCGCAGGCGGC
This 231-nucleotide ribosomal RNA is filed under the name uncultured bacterium. Its description in RNAcentral is "partial 16S ribosomal RNA". It matches the Rfam family "Bacterial small subunit ribosomal RNA", at positions 333 to 579 of the family's 1533-position model. The record is from RNAcentral.